Molecule: transfer RNA, 73 nt
Filed under: Flavobacterium sp.
Lineage: Bacteria; Pseudomonadati; Bacteroidota; Flavobacteriia; Flavobacteriales; Flavobacteriaceae
Also listed under: 7 other names
Description: tRNA-Phe
Rfam family: tRNA
About the family: Transfer RNA (tRNA) molecules are approximately 80 nucleotides in length. Their secondary structure includes four short double-helical elements and three loops (D, anti-codon, and T loops).
Source: RNAcentral
GGUAUCUUAGCUCAGUUGGUAGAGCAAUGGACUGAAAAUCCAUGUGUCCCUGGUUCGAUUCCUGGAGAUACCA